GAGUUUGAUCCUGGCUCAGGAUGAACGCUGGCGGCGUGCUUAACACAUGCAAGUCGAACGAGGAAUUUUAAUGAGACUUCGGUGGAUUUUAAAAUUCUUAGUGGCGGACGGGUGAGUAACGCGUGGGCAACCUGCCCUGGUACAGGGGGGACAACAGCUGGAACGGCUGCUAAUACCGCAUAAGACCACGGAGCCGCGUGGCUCAGUGGGAAAAACUCCGGUGGUACAGGAUGGGCCCGCGUUGGAUUAGGUAGUUGGUGAGGUAACGGCCCACCAAGCCGACGAUCCAUAGCCGACCUGAGAGGGUGACCGGCCACGUUGGGACUGAGACACGGCCCAAACUCCUACGGGAGGCAGCAGUGGGGAAUCUUCCGCGAAUGGGCGAAAGCCUGACGGAGCAACGCCGCGUGAGUGAAG
This 417-nucleotide ribosomal RNA is filed under the name uncultured microorganism. RNAcentral describes it as "bacterial SSU rRNA". It matches the Rfam family "Bacterial small subunit ribosomal RNA", at positions 9 to 410 of the family's 1533-position model. The record is from RNAcentral.